CUUCCCAAGUAACCUGCUUAGAUGUCUAGAGUUGUAUUGGGCAGGACUGGGAGCUGUUGGAAAGAGGGUCGCUGCAGAUGUAGCUCUGGAGGGGUAUCACCCACAGUGGGCUGCACCUUCCCACAGUCAGUAAUAAGUCAAAAAAAUGCCCCACGCGCCAAUCUGAGGAGGUCAGUUCUCCCCUUGAGCGUCUCCUUCCUCGAUGACUCUAUUUUCUGUCAAGUUGACAAAUCAACAAACAGACAAACAAACUCACCAGCACCUUGGGAAGCCACCCAACAAGUGUGACCAGGGAGCUACAGCUUCAGGGCACGCCAGUGUGCAUGCAGGCCAGCCAUAAGAAGCCAACCUUAACACCUGCUCUUCCCUUUGAGAGAAAAGUCCCUCCCCAGAGAGAUAACACUAAAUUUGGAUCCUUUCUGAUGUCAUAGUCUAUCAGUUUAAUUUGACUUUAAUGGUAUGCGCAGACUUAGUGCAAAAGGUGUGCAGCUAGCCAGCCCACAGUGGUAAAAUGUCCCACUGUUUUCCACGGUGGGAAAAAAAAAUCAGCUAAGAAUAAGAGCAUUAGCCAGGCAGUGGUGGCCCACGCUUUUAAUCCCAGCACUUCGGAGGGCGAGGCAGACAAAUCUCUGUGAGUUCGAGGCUAGCCAGGUCUACAGAGCUACACAGAGAAACCCUGUCUCAAAAAGGAAUGAGAGGGUUAGUUUGCAGAGAGCAGCGGUGCUCCUGGGCAGUUUCAGAGUGGAUGGAAGCACAGAUUUCUCAGUAACCCCCCCCCACACACACACACACAUUGUUUCCUCAGUCUGCUCUCUUGUGAUUGGUGUUCACCCAGUCCUCCAAGCCAAUACAUCUCCAACAGAACUGCUAGGGACAUCAGAUGCUGUACCACACUGGAGUUUGUUUUGGAAGAGUGACAUUCUGAGCACAAAGGUUAAGUCCAUUAUCCUCAUGGUGGCACGCAGGCAGACCUGGUGCUGGAGAAGUUGCUGAGAGUCGAACAUCUUGACCUUCAAUCAACAGGAAGAAAACUGAGACAUACCAAAGGAGCAUCUCAAGGACAGAAGUACUGAGCCAUGAGGUUUCUUAUUGUGCAGUUUUACCAGGCCAGCACUGUCCAGAGGCAGAUCCUACUGAGAGGUGUUUGGGUCAGAAGAGCAGAGCCCUCCUGAAGAAAUUAAUUCCUGCCUCUCUUCAGAGAAUAGGCUAUGAUCACAUUUAACUCCCUUUUCCUUCUUGUGUGUGCUUUCCCUGGACUUUCAA
RNAcentral lists this long non-coding RNA (1263 nucleotides) under Cricetulus griseus (Chinese hamster). RNAcentral's name for it is "lncRNA (ENSCGRG00015033540.1)". The record is from RNAcentral. Lineage: Eukaryota; Metazoa; Chordata; Mammalia; Rodentia; Cricetidae.